Molecule: ribosomal RNA, 469 nt
Filed under: uncultured bacterium
Lineage: Bacteria
Description: partial 16S ribosomal RNA
Rfam family: Bacterial small subunit ribosomal RNA
Source: RNAcentral
GACGAACGCUGGCGGCGUGCUUAACACAUGCAAGUCGAACGGAAAGGCCCUGCUUUUGUGGGGUGCUCGAGUGGCGAACGGGUGAGUAACACGUGAGUAACCUGCCCUUGACUUUGGGAUAACUUCAGGAAAACUGGGGCUAAUACCGGAUAGGAGCUCCUGCUGCAUGGUGGGGGUUGGAAAGUUUCGGCGGUUGGGGAUGGACUCGCGGCUUAUCAGCUUGUUGGUGGGGUAGUGGCUUACCAAGGCUUUGACGGGUAGCCGGCCUGAGAGGGUGACCGGCCACAUUGGGACUGAGAUACGGCCCAGACUCCUACGGGAGGCAGCAGUGGGGAAUAUUGCACAAUGGGCGGAAGCCUGAUGCAGCAACGCCGCGUGCGGGAUGACGGCCUUCGGGUUGUAAACCGCUUUCGCCUGUGACGAAGCGUGAGUGACGGUAAUGGGUAAAGAAGCACCGGCUAACUACGUG